This 253-nucleotide ribosomal RNA is filed under the name uncultured bacterium. RNAcentral describes it as "partial 16S ribosomal RNA". It matches the Rfam family "Bacterial small subunit ribosomal RNA", at positions 524 to 776 of the family's 1533-position model. The record is from RNAcentral.
UACGUAGGUGGCGAGCGUUGUCCGGAAUUACUGGGCGUAAAGGAUGCGUAGGUGGAUAGUUAAGUGGGAUGUGAAAUCCCCGGGCUCAACCCGGGAACUGCAUACCAAACUGGUUAUCUAGAGUGUAGGAGAGGAAAGUAGAAUUCAUAGUGUAGCGGUGAAAUGCGUAGAUAUUAUGAGGAAUACCAGUGGCGAAGGCGACUUUCUGGACUAUAACUGACACUGAGGCAUGAAAGCGUGGGUAGCAAACAGG